This 83-nucleotide small nuclear RNA is filed under the name Tursiops truncatus (common bottlenose dolphin). Lineage: Eukaryota; Metazoa; Chordata; Mammalia; Artiodactyla; Delphinidae. The record is from RNAcentral.
AAAAAAAUUGGAACGACACAGAGAAGAUUAGCAUGGCCCUGCGCAAGGAUGACAUGCACAUUCGUGAAGCGUUCCAUGUUAAA